Long non-coding RNA from Leopardus geoffroyi (Geoffroy's cat), 1568 nucleotides. RefSeq lists it as uncharacterized. The transcript is spliced from 2 exons. Lineage: Eukaryota; Metazoa; Chordata; Mammalia; Carnivora; Felidae. The record is from RefSeq and is a predicted model, not a curated record.
GCCGAAAUCAAGAGUUGGCUGCUAAACUAACUGAGCCACCCAGGCACCCCAAGACUCCUGAACUUUCGUAGGAAAGUCUAGUACUACCUUCUGCGAGCUUCCAGGAAGAGGAAAUAGUGGAAGGGAUGCUAUCUGAAGAUAUGCUUGGAAGUUUUCCAUAAUAAAUGCAGAGCUUGAAUCCUGAGUUCCAAGAAGUUCAGUGAACUCCAAGCUGGCUAAAUAAAAAUAAAUUUAUACUUACACAUGUUGUAGGUGAAACACUAGAAACAAGACAGAAGCAACCUGAGGGAAGCCAUUGUCUAGACUGGCAGGCGUUUUGUUUGAAUCCAUGUAAAGUGAUAUUCAGGAGUAAGUGAAAUAAAGCCUUUGUAGAUAGACAAAGUUGAUCACUUGUAGACUUGCUGGAGGAAGUAUUAAAAGGUAGCUUUUUACGUGUAUGUUUUUUACUUCAAGAAGAAAGAGAUUGAAACCAGGAGGAGGGAAUGAGAUGCAAAUAGCAAAGUGUACAUUUUUAGGAAACAUUCCCUCCAAUUUAUUACAUGCCUUGUGGUUUGAGAAAAGUGAACAUUAGCAGCUCCCACUGAUACUAUGGAGUGGACAGAUUAAGUGGGAGGGCAGCAGAGUUCAUUCAUGUAGUGCUUACUGAGGGCUUUCAGGGAGCAAGGCACUGUGUAAAGCAAUAACGGUACAAUGAUUAAACCAGUUCCUUCCUUCAUGGAGCUUAUUGCUUAUUGAGGAGGAGACACGGUAACACAUAAAAUACAGUACAGUUGAUUGUGAAGAGCCCUUUAAGCCAUACAGAGCGUUCAGAAUGUGAGAGAUGAACUUCAUCAGGAUUUUAGGGAUACGAGUAGGCAGGUCAUGUUAGAGGAUGUCAGAGUAGGACUUGGGGAACACAGAUGAAGGAUUCAGGUAGAAAGAAACUGAGCAACAGUGAGGAAUUCAGUGUCUCGAUAAUGACAGGUUUUUGCUGAUAAAAGGACACUUUGCAAAAUGACCUUCUUUACAGUCCAAAUUGGGGUCUUAGCUGUGAAAAAAAUGUAUACUUGGCUCUCAGGGAGUUAGAUUAAAUGCACAAGGAAAAAUUGUUUUUAACAUUUAAAAAUAAGAGCAUACAUAGGGAGGGACAUAGUUAAGGUAUAAAAGAAGCUCGGUGAAUGAGAAUUAAUGGAAGGUGAGAAUGUAUACGUUGUGGUUUUGUGGCAGCUUGAUAUUGUUAGCUGGUUGUUGUUAACAAACUCCCGGACUUUGAAAAUUACUUAAAGCUAGUAUCUUGGAGUAUUCUAGGUAGAAAAGCAAAGGUCAUCAGUAUCUCUAACUACUGUUCCCUGUGGAAUCAAAAGUAUGAAACCUAAGUUGUAAUAUGCUUCUGUGUUGAUGGAGAUGGAAUGAGUGAAAAUUAAUGAUUUAGCAUUUCAUUAACUUCAAAUGCAGCUUAAAGUUUUUUUUUUUUUUUUGUGAAACCACAGUUUAUUUGCUUUAAAAGUUCUUUCUUGGGUAAAUUGAAUUUCAUCAUAGAUGUUAUUGACAAUAAACACGUUAGUAAAAAAAAACAACAACCAAAAAAC